RNAcentral lists this non-coding RNA (99 nucleotides) under pig gut metagenome. Its description in RNAcentral is "THF riboswitch". It matches the Rfam family "THF (Tetrahydrofolate) riboswitch aptamer". Rfam says of the family: THF riboswitch presents a pseudoknot that joins P1-P2 and the loop of P3 and two THF binding. The record is from RNAcentral.
CAGAGUAGAGCGUUGAGCGUUUAAGUGCAUUAUGUACGGGGAGUUGGCAUAGUGACGAAAAGCCAUUGGGUUUGCGGUUCGGCGUUCGCAUCCCGCUGC